Gossypium raimondii (Peruvian cotton) is the source of this 145-nucleotide non-coding RNA. The record is from Rfam. NCBI's taxonomy places the organism in Eukaryota, Viridiplantae, Streptophyta, Magnoliopsida, Malvales, Malvaceae.
UAUUAAAAAUUUCAUCUAUUUUUACGGUUAAAAAAUGGUGUGACUGAUAGAACAACCAAAUAGAUAUACAUGGCGUGCCACAUAUAUCUCAUUAUAAUGUAUAGUGAUCAGUUUUUAAGAGUAAAAAUAGAUAAAAUUUUUAACA